RNAcentral lists this long non-coding RNA (334 nucleotides) under Rhinopithecus bieti (black snub-nosed monkey). RNAcentral's name for it is "lncRNA (ENSRBIG00000045978.1)". Lineage: Eukaryota; Metazoa; Chordata; Mammalia; Primates; Cercopithecidae. The record is from RNAcentral.
CAGGACACUUGUUCAGGCGUCUAGGGGACACAAAUUGGAACAGAACUUGAGCCCUCAAAAUGCUUAUACCUUAGCAAACUCAUGUGGCUCAGAGCCUUCACAACAAAGAAGGAAAGGCAAAGUCUCCUUUUUCACCUACAAAGGAUUCAUCUUCUUCUAUACCCUCUUUGUUACAGGACAGCAAUGCUUCCAAGCUAGAGGCAUUCAAGGAGUGGCCCGGAGAACAUGUCAUUCAGGGCCUGGAAGAUUUCCAUCAGCAUUCAGGGGGUCAACCGUCCUACAGAACUGUAAUACAGCCUAUGGAAACCAGUUUGAAAAUGAAAAAGUAUGCUGA